CCUCCAGACUCCUACGGGAGGCAGCAGUGGGGAAUAUUGCACAAUGGGGGAAACCCUGAUGCAGCAACGCCGCGUGAGUGAAGAAGUAUUUCGGUAUGUAAAGCUCUAUCAGCAGGGAAGAAAAUGACGGUACCUGAGUAAGAAGCCCCGGCUAACUACGUGCCAGCAGCCGCGGUAAUACGUAGGGGGCAAGCGUUAUCCGGAUUUACUGGGUGUAAAGGGAGCGUAGACGGCGAUACAAGUCUGAAGUGAAAGCCCGGGGCUCAACCCCGGGACUGCUUUGGAAACUGUGUUGCUGGAGUGCUGGAGAGGCAAGCGGAAUUUCUAGUGUAGCGGUGAAAUGCGUAGAUAUUAGGAGGAACACCAGUGGCGAAGGCGGCCUGCUGGACGACAACUGACGGUGAGGCGCGAAAGCGUGGGGAGCAAACAGGAUUAGAUACCCUGGUAA
This 448-nucleotide ribosomal RNA is filed under the name uncultured bacterium. Its description in RNAcentral is "bacterial SSU rRNA". It matches the Rfam family "Bacterial small subunit ribosomal RNA", at positions 328 to 793 of the family's 1533-position model. The record is from RNAcentral.